AGGAUCAUUAUCGUGUAAUUCAGUCAUGCUACUGCAUGAGCAAUAUUUAAGCCCACUUUUCGGGCAUUUUCCUGUUGCUUUAUUUUUCCUAUGCAAGAUAACAUCUCCUUCCACAGAGAUAAGUCUUGAAAGGAAAAAGAGGGCCCGUCCGGAGUUUUAAAUAGUCUUAAAAAAAUUUUAAAAAAAAAAAUCAAUUUAAAAAAACUUUCAGCAACGGAUCUCUUGGUUCUCGCAUCGAUGAAGAACGCAGCGAAAUGCGAUAAGUAGUGUGAAUUGCAGAAUUCAGUGAAUCAUCGAAUCUUUGAACGCACAUUGCGCCUCCUGGUAUUCUGGGGGGCAUGCCUGUUCGAGAGUCAUUUACAACAAUUUCGAAUCCCCCCACCUUCAGUUUGUGUGUGGGGGUGAAUCGGUUUUGGUUGAGGAGAGAGACUAACUACUCUCCCUCCCCACCAAAAUUCAUAGGCAGUCUGUGUUUUUGUAAACCUUGGAUAUGUUUAUGGCGUUGUAAACGGGAGGUUUCUCCUUCAUUGGGAAGGUGGCCCACUUUUCGCCUGUAGCAAAUUUGAGAAAUACUUGGACUAGCCUUCAAGAAUAUAAAAAAAAAUCCCCAUGGUUUUUUAUAUAUAUAUUUCAAAGGUUGACCUCGGAUCAGGUAGGGAUACCCGCUGAACUUAAGCAUAUCAAUAAGCGGAGGAAAAGAAACCAACCGGGAUUGCCUUAGUAACUGCGAGUGAAGUGGCAAAAGCUCAAAAUUGAAAUCCGGUACCUUUGGUGCCUGAGUUGUAAUUUGGAGAGACAAAUUUGGUUGAUGGUACCGGCCUAGGUUCCUUUGAACAGGACGACAUAGAGGGUGAGAAUCCCGUGCCUGGCUGGGUUAUUUGCUGUCACACGCUAAAUUGUCUUCGACGAGUCGAGUUGUUUGGGAAUGCAGCUCAAAAUGGGUGGUAAAUGUCAUCUAAAGCUAAAUAUUGGCGAGAGACCGAUAGCGCACAAGUAGAGUGAUCGAAAGAUGAAAAGCACUUUGAAAAGAGAGUCAAAAAGUACGUGAAAUUGCUGAAAGGGAAGCGCUUGAGAUCAGACUCGAGCUGUGGUGAUCACCCGUGCUUCUGUGCGGUGUAACUUGCCACGGUUUGGGCCAGCAUCGGUUCUGGCGGUCGGAUAAAAGGUGGAGGAAUGUAGCUUCCCUCGGGGAGUGUUAUUUAGCCUCCACCACAAUGCGGCCAGCUGGGACCGAGGACUGCGUGGAAAU
RNAcentral lists this ribosomal RNA (1249 nucleotides) under uncultured Genea. RNAcentral's name for it is "eukaryotic LSU rRNA". The stretch from base 639 to 1249 matches the Rfam family "Eukaryotic large subunit ribosomal RNA", at positions 1 to 611 of the family's 3401-position model. The record is from RNAcentral. Lineage: Eukaryota; Fungi; Ascomycota; Pezizomycetes; Pezizales; Pyronemataceae.